UCCACUCCAUGAAAAACUGAAGGUAAAGGAGAUGGAGGUCAUGCCAUUUCUGUACAACUUAGAGAUGGAAAACAUUGAGGCCCACAAGAACAACCAGGAGCUCAAGAAGGAGAUUAACUUUUAUUGCAGUUUACACAGCUGGAUCCUGAUGGAGAAGAAUCUUAUGAAGAAGAAAUUGUUCUUGAUGAACCAGGAGAACAAGGAAGUUCAGGGUGAUUGGGCCCUCAUACAACAAUACUUGCUUGACUUGAACCUGAAUGGUAAAGAUGAACAUGAGAAGACCAGCAACGUCCAGGACCAACAACAUCAAGUCUCAGAAACUGCAACAGCUGGGAUUGGCCAUAGCAGAAGAAGAGAGCAUCCUGCAGAAUGAGUUGCCACCUCAGGAGCCCCCUGCUGAGCUCCAUCCUCCCCCCACCCCCUAACAGCCCCAGAC
Molecule: non-coding RNA, 436 nt
Organism: Mus caroli (Ryukyu mouse)
Lineage: Eukaryota; Metazoa; Chordata; Mammalia; Rodentia; Muridae
Source: RefSeq, a predicted model, not a curated record